This 497-nucleotide ribosomal RNA is filed under the name uncultured bacterium. Its description in RNAcentral is "partial 16S ribosomal RNA". It matches the Rfam family "Bacterial small subunit ribosomal RNA", at positions 28 to 507 of the family's 1533-position model. The record is from RNAcentral.
GAUGAACGCUGGCGGCGUGCCUAAUACAUGCAGGUCGAGCGAACGGACGAGAAGCUUGCUUCUCUGAUGUUAGCGGCGGACGGGUGAGUAACACGUGGAUAACCUACCUAUAAGACUGGGAUAACUUCGGGAAACCGGAGCUAAUACCGGAUAAUAUUUUGAACCGCAUGGUUCAAAAGUGAAAGACGGUCUUGCUGUCACUUAUAGAUGGAUCCGCGCUGCAUUAGCUAGUUGGUAAGGUAACGGCUUACCAAGGCAACGAUGCAUAGCCGACCUGAGAGGGUGAUCGCCCACACUGGAACUGAGACACGGUCCAGACUCCUACGAGAGGCAGCAGUAGGGAAUGUUCCGCAAUGGGCGAAAGCAUGACGGAGCAACGCCGCGUGAGUGAUGAAGGUCUUCGGAUCGUAAAACUCUGUUAUUAGGGAAGAACAUAUGUGUAAGUAGCUGUGCACAUCUUGACGGUACCUAGUCAGAAAGCCACGGCUAACUACGUG